UUGUAUUAGUAUGGUUCGCUUUCUCUUGUGACUAUGGUAGGAUGGUUAAGUUAAUGUAGCCUAUAGCUUCGGUGGUAGCUAGGCUAAGUCUUGGCUUGGUGUUUUUGCUUUAGUUGUAGUAGGUAAUAGGGCAGUAAGAGAGGAAGAAGCUUAUCGAAGGAACUGACGGGGGAAGGCACGAACGCUAUAACAAUAGGGAAGGGGCUUGCUCUAAACUUCAAAAGAUAUUCUCGCAUUUCAGUGAACAAGGCAGCGAUUCGACGAUCAUAUAGUAGGUGUACCGCGGGUGGCUUUUCUCUUUUGGUUUUGAUGAAGGGAGAAGGUCUAGCUUUACUUAUUCCACUUUUUUUAGGAAUGAAAGAAUCACCAGUUAAUGCAGAAAAAGAGAUCUUAACAGCUAUCUUACUUCCUGACUUCCCGGAGUAAACUUCCUAUUGACGACUCGAAACGAAUGCUUAAAUUAAUUGAAUUUGAAAAGGUGGUUAAGUCAUUGAUAGAGAUGAAUCGAAUCCCCUAACAUUAGACUAGCUAGCCUUCGUUGGCUUGGGUGGCUUGGUUAGAUUGCUUUGAAAGCCCCAAUCAAUCAAGCCUAGUGAUCACUGAACGAUUGAUUCCUACUCUUAUUAUAUAAUAUUCUUAUUCUUUCUUCGAUGAUAUAAUAUAGAUGGUGGGAACAAUGAAGCCGAUUCUUCAUCUGUAGGUUGAAAUUCGUAUGAUUUCUUUUAUCGAUCU
Molecule: long non-coding RNA, 732 nt
Filed under: Gossypium barbadense (sea-island cotton)
Lineage: Eukaryota; Viridiplantae; Streptophyta; Magnoliopsida; Malvales; Malvaceae
Description: long non-coding RNA (GBAR_LNC019785)
Source: RNAcentral